RNAcentral lists this unclassified non-coding RNA (203 nucleotides) under uncultured Sebacina. RNAcentral's name for it is "sequence contains ITS1". Lineage: Eukaryota; Fungi; Basidiomycota; Agaricomycetes; Sebacinales; Sebacinaceae. The record is from RNAcentral.
GUGAAUCUUCAAAGUCGGCUCGUUGGAUUGUGCUGGUGGGCAGCCACAUGUGCACAUCUGCGGGUCGCAAAUCCACACACCUGUGCAUCUAUGACUCUGAGUGCCGCUUUGCAUGGCCCUUGAUUGGACCUGGCACUCGAGUACUUUUCACACACUCUUGAAUGUAACGGAAUGUCAAUGUUGUGCAUAAUGUACAAACGAAA